RNAcentral lists this ribosomal RNA (490 nucleotides) under uncultured bacterium. RNAcentral describes it as "partial 16S ribosomal RNA". It matches the Rfam family "Bacterial small subunit ribosomal RNA", at positions 30 to 507 of the family's 1533-position model. The record is from RNAcentral.
AUUGAACGCUGGCGGCAGGCCUAACACAUGCAAGUCGAACGGUAACAGGAAGAAGCUUGCUUCUUUGCUGACGAGUGGCGGACGGGUGAGUAAUGUCUGGGAAACUGCCUGAUGGAGUGGGAUAACUACUGGAAACGGUAGCUAAUACCGCAUAACGUCGCAAGAGCAAAGAGGGGGACCUUCGGGCCCCUUGCCAUCGGAUGUGCGCAGAUGGGAUUAGCUAGUAGGUGGGGUAACGGCUCACCUAGGCGACGAUCCCUAGCUGGUCUGAGAGGAUGACCAGCCACACUGGAACUGAGACACGGUCCAGACUCCUACGGGAGGCAGCAGUGGGGAAUAUUGGACAAAGGGCGCAAGCCUGAUGCAGCCAUGCCGCGUGUAUGAAGAAGGCCUUCGGGUUGUAAAGUACUUUCAGCGGGGAGGAAGGGCGUAAAGUUAAUACCUUUGCUCAUUGACGUUACCCAAAGAAGAAGCACCGGCUAACUCCGUG